AUGCCACGGACUCCCACUGUCCAGGGCUUCCAGUGGACUCUCCGAGGCACUGACGUAGAAACUUCCCCAUUCAGUGCACCAAGAGCAGCCUCACACGGUGUGGGCUGACAAGAAGGGCUGCCAGAUCCAACAGUCCUUGGCUCCACCUCUUCUGCCACAAACGUCAGCAUGGUGGUACCUGCCAGCCCUUGGUCCAGUGAGAAGGCAAAAAAGAGCAUUCUAGAAAUCAAUGAGAAAUUGCACCCCCAGCUGGCAGAGAACAAACAGCAGUUCAGAAACAGCAAAGAGAAAUUUCUUGUAACUCAAGUGGCCUACUUCCUGGUCAACCAGCAGAACAAAUACCACAAGCAUGUCUGUCUUUUCUCAGAGUGUGAAGAGUGCCAAGACCUCAUAAAAUCUAUGCUGAGGAAUGAGCUGCAGUUCAAGGAGGAGAAGCUUGCAGAGCAGCUCAGGCAAGCUGAGGAGCUCAGGUGAUAUAAAGUCCCAGUCCACUCUCAGGAAUGAGAGCUGACCCAGUUACGGGAGAAGUUACAGGAAAGGAGAGACGCCUCCUGCUUAUUGAGUCAGCAUCUCCAGGCCCUCCUCACUCUGGAUGAGCCGGAUAACUCCCAGGGGCAGGACCUCCAAGAACAGCCUGCUGAGGGGUGUAGGCUGGCACAGCACUUUGUCCAAAAGCUCAGCUCAGAAAAUGACGAAGAUGAGGAUGAAGAUGUUGAAGUUGAGGAGGCUGAGAAAGUACAGGAAUCAUGUGCCCCCAGGGAGGUGCAGAAGGCUGAAGGAAAGGAAGUCCCUGAGGACUCACUGGAGGAAUGUGCCGUCACUUAUUCAAACAGCUAUGGCCCUUGUGACUCCAAACAGCCUCACAGGAACACCAAAAUCACAUUUAAGGAAGAGAAAGUUGAUCCAUCUCUCAUUGAUUCAUCCUCUCCUGAUGAAUGAGAGGAUGCUGUACACAUUAUCCCAGAAAAUGAAAGUGAUGAUGAGGAAGAGGAAGAAAAAGGGCCAGUGUCUCCCAGGAAUCUGCAGGAGUCUGAAGAGGAGGAAGCCCCUCAGGAGUUCUAGGAUGAAGGUUAUUCGACUCUCUCAAUUCCUCCUGACAAGUCAGCCUCGUACCAGUCUUACAGGAGCACCUUUCACUCAUUAGAGGAACAGCAAGUCGGUUUGGCUCUUGUCGUAGGCAGACAUCGAUGUGAGCAAGUGAAAAAGGAGGACCAAGAGGCAACAGAUCCCAGGCUCAGCAGGGAGCUGCUGGACAAGAAAGAGACUGAAGUCUUGCAGGACUCACUGGAUAUAUGUUAUUCAACUCCUUCCGGUUAUCUUGAACUGCCUGACUCAUGCCAGCCCUACAGAAGUGCCUUUUACUCAUUGGAGGAACAGCACCUUGGCUUGGCUCUUGAUGUGGACAGAAUUAAAAAGGACCAAGAAGAGGAAGAAGACCAAGGCCCAUCAUGCCCCAGGCUCAGCAGAGAGCUGCUGAAGGUAGUAGAGUCUGAAGUUUUGCAGGACUCACUGGAUAGAAGUUAUUUGACACCUUCCAGUUGUCUUGAACUGCCUGACUCAUGCCAGCCCUAUGGAAGUUCCUUUUACUCAUUGGAGGAACAACACGUUGGCUUUUCUCUUGAUGUGGAUGAAAUUGAAAAGUACCAAGAAGGGGAAGAAGAUCAGAACCCACCAUGCCCCAGGCUCAACGGGGUGCCGAUGGAAGUGGAAGAGGCUGAAGUCUUGCAGGACUCACUGGAUAGAUGUUAUUCACCUCCUCCAACUUAGUUUGAACUACCUGACUCAUUCCAGCACUACAGAAGUGCCUUUUACUCACUUAAGGAACAGCACAGCAGCUUGGCCCUUGAGUGGACAAUACGUUUUUUACUUUGAUGGGGAUAAAGCUCCACCUGGUCUUCUAGAUGGGAGUCAUAUUCCCACACUAA
Molecule: RNA transcript, 1925 nt
Organism: Nomascus leucogenys (northern white-cheeked gibbon)
Lineage: Eukaryota; Metazoa; Chordata; Mammalia; Primates; Hylobatidae
Gene name: neuroblastoma breakpoint family member 3-like
Exons: 14
Source: RefSeq, a predicted model, not a curated record